Molecule: long non-coding RNA, 461 nt
Organism: Rhododendron vialii
Lineage: Eukaryota; Viridiplantae; Streptophyta; Magnoliopsida; Ericales; Ericaceae
Exons: 3
Source: RefSeq, a predicted model, not a curated record
UCUCUCAUCUCUCCCACGGCUUCUCUCCCCCUCUCUCUCUCUCUCUCUCUCUCUCUCUCUCUCAUCAAAUUUCUUCCCCAAAUCUCAAAUUAACCAAGGGAUCUUGGAGUAUUCUUCUCCUAGAGUCGAGUUCUAGCCUUUGAUCGCGUUGGAAAGCUCGGAGGAGGUGUUUUCGGGAGAGGUUUUACCUGGAGAUUCUUGGGAUUUUAAUUUCAACCUUCAAGGAAGUUCGAGUCGUCACGUGGAUCGAAGAAGUGACGCGUAGUGUGGCAGAGUGUUUACUUUUGAGAUGCGUUGUAUAUUUGGAAAAGGAAGUUAUGCUUCUUGGUCACUUAGCUUUGUGUAUGAUUUGUUUAGUUUGUAAAUUUGUAAGUAAGCACAGCUCUGAGAGGUUUAUUCUUUUGGUUUGUAAACCUAUGUAAGACUUUGGUUUGUUAUCGAUAAAAGUUAACUUUUGCUUU